GACGAACGCUGGCGGCGUGCCUAAUACAUGCAAGUCGAGCGAGUCUGCCUUGAAGAUCGGAGUGCUUGCACUCUGUGAAACAAGAUACAGGCUAGCGGCGGACGGGUGAGUAACACGUGGGUAACCUGCCCAAGAGAUCGGGAUAACACCUGGAAACAGAUGCUAAUACCGGAUAACAACAGAUGAUGCCUAUCAACUGUUUAAAAGAUGGUUCUGCUAUCACUCUUGGAUGGACCUGCGGUGCAUUAGCUAGUUGGUAGGGUAACGGCCUACCAAGGCGAAGAUGCAUAGCCGAGUUGAGAGACUGAUCGGCCACAUUGGGACUGAGACACGGCCCAAACUCCUACGGGAGGCAGCAGUAGGGAAUCUUCCACAAUGGACGCAAGUCUGAUGGAGCAACGCCGCGUGAGUGAAGAAGGGUUUCGGCUCGUAAAGCUCUGUUGUUGGUGAAGAAGGACAGGGGUAGUAACUGACCUUUGUUUGACGGUAAUCAAUUAGAAAGUCACGGCUAACUACGUG
RNAcentral lists this ribosomal RNA (519 nucleotides) under uncultured bacterium. RNAcentral's name for it is "partial 16S ribosomal RNA". It matches the Rfam family "Bacterial small subunit ribosomal RNA", at positions 28 to 507 of the family's 1533-position model. The record is from RNAcentral.